Molecule: unclassified non-coding RNA, 1479 nt
Filed under: Leishmania donovani
Lineage: Eukaryota; Euglenozoa; Kinetoplastea; Trypanosomatida; Trypanosomatidae
Description: gene:LdHU3.25.2430(CDS-product:Vacuolar_protein_s orting_55_putative)
Source: RNAcentral
AUACGCAUACUCACACGCACGCACAGACUCAUAUAUAUAUAUAUAUAUGUGUGUGUAUGUCUGCUGGAACGCCAGCGCCUGCACGUCUUCGCAUUCGGUCCUCUUUUGCCAACUCUCUUCUCCCUUUCGCCUUCGAUUAUUUUAGCUUGAUCGUGUUGGUCACGCCGAUCCAUUUGCACCCGGGGUGAGGCAGCGGCUACCAGCACAACGACUCGUUGCCGCGCCACUCGAAGCUCACCAACGCCAGUCUGCGUGUGUGUGUGUGUGUGUGUGUCGGUCUUCGCUAUUAGGGCCGGAGAUCAGUAUCAACCUUUGCGGCACAGCACCCUCCUCCCUCCAUCGCUCUCUCAGCUGAUUGCCAUGUCCGGCCUUCGCCAGCUGAUCAUCUCGGCCUUCUUCCUGGUGAUGGGCUUCCUAUUCCUGAUUUUGGGCUGCACCGUUGUAAGGAAGCGAAAUGCGUGGCCUUUGAUGAGCCUUGCGCUCUACUGCUUCGCCCCCGUCCCCUUCUUCUUGUGUGGUCGCGGCGCCGACAGCGACGACUUCAUCGACUUUGAUGACGAGCCGCUGGAUGCCUUCAGCACAGUCGGCCUCUUCAUGGGCGGUGUGCUGCUUAUAUCGGGUCCAGGUCUGGCGGUGGUGCUCUAUCACACCUCCGUGAUUUGCGGCUUGGCACUCUUCUUCACGCUCCUCAGCGGGGUGUGCUUCAUCGCGGCGGGCGUGUCACUCACCGUCGCUGAUGGUGGCGAUGGCGACGACGCUGCUGACGGGUACAACUUCUAAAAUGCGGAACAGGAAUCCGGAAGAGCCACGUUGGCGGACGUAUUGAUGCGUCUGUGUGCACUCCUCCUCUUCUGCUAUUCAUACCCUCGCCACACGUACGCACGGCGCGUAAGACGGUGAGCCAUGCUUGCGUCGUACGAAGCAUUCUGUUGCUGGAUCUGUCUCUCUCUCUCUCUUGGCGGUCUUGCUUUUUUUUUCUCGGGUUGUGCGUCCUUGUUGGGCAGGGAAGAGGAAAGGGGAAACGCACACGAGGAAACACACACUCCGCUGCCUCUGCCUCUCUGCCUUCCGCAGGGGACCACCUCGCUCCAUCUCACCCUUUUCGUCUUUGCUCUCGUUGUCUGCUGCGGCUCUGCGUGGAAGUCGACGACGGUCACGGCGAGGAGGCGGGAUUGUGUGUGUGUGUGGGGGGGGGAGGGGAGGAUGGUGCCACCGAAAGAGUAGCGCACCAGCGAGAUCACGUCACACGAGGCUGUUCUGCCGUCCUCUUCUUCUUUCUGUGCUGUUGUGCUGUAUCAUCACUCGUUCUGUCUGCGUGUGUCUCCGCCUCUGCCCUCGCUCGCCUUCUUGGCCUCAGCGACAGCGGCCAGAACAGCAUCCCCCUCCCCCUCGGCUGAGCUUGUCUGGCAGGAGAACGAGGUGAAGGGAGGGGGUCACGCAGGUAAGAGACCACCUGCAUGGACGGUAUGCGCCUUUUUC